This 693-nucleotide long non-coding RNA is filed under the name Mytilus galloprovincialis (Mediterranean mussel). The record is from RNAcentral. Lineage: Eukaryota; Metazoa; Mollusca; Bivalvia; Mytilida; Mytilidae.
UUUGGAUCGAAGCGAUUCGAUGAAAUUUUAUAGGAGUUAUCUAUCUUUACGGAAUAAAUUUGUCGGUAUAUUUUUUUAACUCAUAAACCGUUAACCUUAUAACCCUGGAAUGUUUUUAUUUGAGUCCCCUGGUCCUAACUUAGAAAAUUAGGUCAAGGUCAAAGGUCAAGGUCAAGUUCUCAAUUGUGACUUUUGCAUGUUUUUGCAUUUUCUCCAACACCUUAAAAGAUACAUAUAAAAGAACAAGUGCAAAAUGUCUGCUUUAUUGUAAUGAAGAUAUGCUACAUUUAGUAUUAUACAAUAUAAUGGCAUCUUAUAGGAGUUGGUGCCCCUGAAAUGUCUUGAUAUGAGGUUAUUUGAUUAUAACUUCAACUAAGUUCAUCAUAAAGCCAUAUGACCUUGUACAAAAAGUUAGGUGACAAAUGACCUUGAAAAAUGACUACCGGAAGUGACCUUGAGAAAACCGGAAGUAGCCUUUUUUGCAAUUUUUUCAUAUAAAAGUACUCAGAAUCCAUAUAUUUUGUCAUAUAGAUACAUAAACUGAUUACUGAAGACUAAAAAUGACUUCCAACAAACCGGAAGUGGCCAAUAAUCUCCCAUUCUACAUAUAAAAGUAUAUAGAAACUAUAUAUUUUUGGAAUCAGUGUCAAAGAAGCUAUCAUAUGAGACCAGAAGUGACAUUCAUUUCACCGG